GUGCUCACUUCGGCAGCACAUAUACUAAAAUUGAAACGAUACAGAGAAGGUUAGCAUGGCCCCUGUGCAAGGAUGACAUGCAAAUUCAUGAAGCAUUCCAUAUUUUU
Gorilla gorilla gorilla (western lowland gorilla) is the source of this 107-nucleotide small nuclear RNA. The record is from Ensembl. NCBI's taxonomy places the organism in Eukaryota, Metazoa, Chordata, Mammalia, Primates, Hominidae.